Molecule: long non-coding RNA, 761 nt
Filed under: Trifolium pratense (red clover)
Lineage: Eukaryota; Viridiplantae; Streptophyta; Magnoliopsida; Fabales; Fabaceae
Description: long non-coding RNA (TPRA_LNC006587)
Source: RNAcentral
CAUUAAUUAUUGUUCAAAAAUUUCAUUAAAUUAUCUAGACUCACUUUACUAAUUUACACCCACUCCAAAUUCAAAAUUUUAAGAACCCAAACCCUAGUAAUUAGAAAACACGCUACUCCUUUUUCCCAAUCAAAUCGACUUCAAUUAUUUUCCCACGAAUUCGCAGCCUCCUAAUUCGACCUCCGGCAUGCCGGAAACCACAAAAGAAGUCCUCGUCUAGAUCACGUUUGGUACCAUUCUCAACCAACCCCAUUGAUAAAUACUGUCAAUCUCACGUUUGGUGAGUUCGCUGUCAUCCGUCUCGGCUGACGUGACGAGAUCCAAUGGCCACCGCCAAGGAUGAAACCGUUGUAAGGUGCGUUGUUCUGCUUUGUAUCGAUCCCCAAAUCUACUAGGAUUCCUCAUACCAUUUACUUACUGUUGGAAAAUGAACAUAGUAGUGUUCAUUUAUGUGUGGAAGUUGAUCCAUUGUGAUUGGAAAUAAAAUGGGAUGAGCACUUUGGUCUUGUAGGACUUGGAACUAAGUAGUGUGAAUUAAAAAAAGUGGAAAAAAUCUCACAUUACUUAGAACACUCUCUUUAGUAGUGUGUGUAUAUCCCAAUGUGGCUAACAUUUCUUAUUCACAAAAUUAACUAAUUUUUUAGUUAAUUAAGCUGGUCCAAGGAGCCACUUAGUGCUGACUCAUUAUAGCAGCCAGCUUGAUUUUGUUCCGUUUGAAAACGGAUUCUUUCAUUAUUGCAUUAAUCCACACAUAAUAGUGC